Molecule: ribosomal RNA, 253 nt
Filed under: uncultured bacterium
Lineage: Bacteria
Description: partial 16S ribosomal RNA
Rfam family: Bacterial small subunit ribosomal RNA
Source: RNAcentral
UACAGAGGUCUCAAGCGUUGUUCGGAUUCAUUGGGCGUAAAGGGUGUGUAGGUGGCGACGUAAGUCGGGUGUGAAAUUUCGGAGCUUAACUCCGAAACUGCAUUCGAUACUGCGGUGCUUGAGGACUGGAGAGGAGACUGGAAUUCAUGGUGUAGCAGUGAAAUGCGUAGAGAUCAUGAGGAAGACCAGUGGCGAAGGCGGGUCUCUGGACAGUUCCUGACACUGAGACACGAAGGCCAGGGGAGCAAACGGG